Molecule: RNA transcript, 1248 nt
Organism: Austrofundulus limnaeus
Lineage: Eukaryota; Metazoa; Chordata; Actinopteri; Cyprinodontiformes; Rivulidae
Gene name: arsenite methyltransferase
Exons: 4
Source: RefSeq, a predicted model, not a curated record
GUAUCGAUAUAGUAUCGGGAAAUGAAAUAUCGCGAUAUUUCAGUGUAUCGAUAUUUUCUUACACCCCUACCAUCUGUCAUACUGAUUGUUCAUAAAUCUUCAGCUUGUAGUUAUCUCAUGCUAACUGUCAAGUUGCAGAAUUGUUAAGGCAGGUUUUUCUUCUCUUUCUAAAUGUACAUAGGUGCUGUCAGACAUUUUUGAAUAUAACUGUUCAAAUUCUUUGUGCACACGUAAUCAAGAUAAUUUGGAUGUUUUCCAUCUCUUCAAGCUUGAAGUGGCCAGAGCAUAUGUGGACUAUCACAUGAAAGAGUUUGGCUAUAAGAAGCCAAAUGUCAGUUUUGUCCAGGGUUACAUUGAAGCUUUAACUGAGGUGGGUCUGGAACAGAACUCCUUUGAUAUCACCAUUUCCAACUGUGUGGUGAACCUCUCUCCGGACAAGAAGAGGGUUCUGGCUGAAGUUUACAGCGUACUCAAGGUGUUUCUACUCAUCAGGAAGGUGGUGAGCUGUACUUCAGUGACAUCUACUGCAGUGGGAGACUAACAAAGGAAAUUAAAAAUCACAAAAUCCUGUGGGGGGAGUGUCUUGGCGGGGCGCUCUGGUGGAAGGAUGUGCUGGAACUGGCCAAUGAAGUGGGUUUCAGUGUUCCACGACUGGUUACAGCCAAUGUUGUGACAGUUGACAACAAAGAACUGGAGGACAUACUGGGUACUUUUAUAUAUAUUUGUAUUUUGUUUGUCUCGAAGGUUGCAAGAUUGCUUUCUUUGUGCACAUAUGGGUUUUCUCUGGGUAUUCUAGUUUUCUCCCACAGACCAAACACAUGCUUGUUAGGUUCAUCGAUAACUCUAAAUUGUCCCUAUAGUUGUGAGUGAGAGCAUGAAUGGUUGUUUGUCUAACUUGUCACUGACUCUUUGUGUCUGAAAGGCAAAUGCAGUUUUAUGAACCAACAGGACUGGACAUAACAGGUGCAACAGCACUGACAGGACACAGAGAUUUCUUUCACACACAAUUUGUUGCCCUCAUGACCUCAUUAAAAAACAACUUUGGUCACUUUAAGGCUUCAUUUAUGGAUGGGUUGUUGAGUUUACCUUCAUGAUGUGUGAACAGUUUUUGGUAACCAGUUAUACUUGGUUAAUGUUUUCUAAUGAUACUUUCAACCUUUGAAGUUAUGUUAACAUUCUAAAUUAACUUUUACAGGCUUUUUUUCUGUAAAUUAUUAAAUUAAAAAAGGUGGCAAAAGAUAUGCAUUC